Molecule: ribosomal RNA, 497 nt
Filed under: uncultured bacterium
Lineage: Bacteria
Description: partial 16S ribosomal RNA
Rfam family: Bacterial small subunit ribosomal RNA
Source: RNAcentral
AGUGAACGCUGGCGGCAUGCCUAAUACAUGCAAGUCGAGCGGCAGCACAAGAAGAUUGUGUUCUUACUGUUGGCGGGGGACGGGUGGGUGAGGCGUGGAUCAGAUACCUAUUUUUCUGGGAUGAUUUCGGGAGAAAGGAGCUAAUAAUGGCUAAUAUUUUGUACGGCAUGAAGCAAAAGUGAAAGACGGUUUUGCUGUUACUAUUAGCUGGAGCCGCGUUGGAUUAGUUAGUUGGUAAGGUAACGGCAUACCAAGGCAACGAUGCGUAGCUGAGCUGAGAGGAUGAUCAGCCACACUGGAACUGAGACACGGUCCAGACUCCUACGGGAGGCAGCAGUGGGGAAUCUUCCACAAUGGGCGAAAGCCUGACGCAGCAAUGCCGCGUGAGUGAUGAAGGUCUUCGGAUCGUAAAGCUCUUUUAUUAGGAAAGAACAGAUGUGUAUUUAUCUCUGCACAUCCUGACGGUACCUAAACAGAAAGCCACGGCUAACUACGUG